This 421-nucleotide ribosomal RNA is filed under the name uncultured bacterium. RNAcentral's name for it is "bacterial SSU rRNA". It matches the Rfam family "Bacterial small subunit ribosomal RNA", at positions 355 to 774 of the family's 1533-position model. The record is from RNAcentral.
UAAGGAAUAUUGGUCAAUGGACGCAAGUCUGAACCAGCCAUGCCGCGUGAAGGAUGAAGGUCCUCUGGAUUGUAAACUUCUUUUAUCUGGGACGAAAACGGGAUUUUUAUCUCAAUUGACGGUACCAGAGGAAUAAGCACCGGCUAACUCCGUGCCAGCAGCCGCGGUAAUACGGAGGGUGCGAGCGUUAUCCGGAUUUACUGGGUUUAAAGGGUGCGUAGGUGGGCUUAUAAGUCAGUGGUGAAAUCUCCGAGCUUAACUUGGAAACUGCCGUUGAUACUAUAGGUCUUGAAUUAUCUGGAGGUAAGCGGAAUAUGUCAUGUAGCGGUGAAAUGCUUAGAUAUGACAUAGAACACCAGUUGCGAAGGCAGCUUACUACAUAUAAAUUGACGCUGAGGCACGAAAGCGUGGGGAUCAAACA